UUUGAUUUGCUUCGCCUAAGAAGGUUGUUUCAUCUCGCUGUGCAACGUCUGAAAGAAUACGUCGCAAGGAGUCCUUUUCGACGGACCUGUUGUUGUGGUUUAAUUGACAUUUGAACUUUGCUAUAUCUGAAUUGUUGUAAUUGUUUUAUUUUUAUAACUUCAUAACGGUAUGUAAGUUUUAAUCGUUAAUAUAAACGUCUGUGAUUUGUGAUCUAAGUGAUUUUUGAACUUGACUGAAGUUAUUUUCCUUGUGAAAAUUACAUGGAUUAUUUUAACUUUGAGUUUCUGAUAAUAAAAUGGACGUUAAUAAUACACAUGAAUGUUUCUCGUCUGGUAUAAAAGUUAUUGGUGCGGACGAUUUCAAUAAAUAUAUGAAUGUUGUUCCCGAAGAACGUGAAAUGGGAACAAAAAUCACAGAAGUUAAAUACGAACAACCUGCUGAUAACUUGGAAGAAAGUGAAUUGUCUUCUUCUGAUUCCGAAGACAUGGAAGGAUUUUAUAUCUGUUUGUCUGAGGAGCAAAUUACUCCUUUUAAACGCAGAAGACCUUUGAAGAGAUCAUUUGUAUACAGUCGACCCCCUAUAACACUGUUGAUUAUUCCGUUUUAUAUGAAUUCCAUGUU
Centruroides sculpturatus (bark scorpion) is the source of this 622-nucleotide long non-coding RNA. RefSeq lists it as uncharacterized. Lineage: Eukaryota; Metazoa; Arthropoda; Arachnida; Scorpiones; Buthidae. The record is from RefSeq and is a predicted model, not a curated record. The transcript has 3 exons.